UUAACGGCCCUUUUUAGGGCCACCCACUUCCUCUCAAACGAACAUU
Strongylocentrotus purpuratus (purple sea urchin) is the source of this 46-nucleotide non-coding RNA. The record is from Rfam. Lineage: Eukaryota; Metazoa; Echinodermata; Echinoidea; Camarodonta; Strongylocentrotidae.